This 406-nucleotide ribosomal RNA is filed under the name uncultured bacterium. Its description in RNAcentral is "partial 16S ribosomal RNA". It matches the Rfam family "Bacterial small subunit ribosomal RNA", at positions 28 to 526 of the family's 1533-position model. The record is from RNAcentral.
GAUGAACGCUAGCUACAGGCUUAACACAUGCAAGUCGAGGGACCGGCGCACGGGUGAGUAACACGUAUCCAACCUGCCCUUUACUCGGGGAUAGCCUUUCGAAAGAAAGAUUAAUACCCGAUAUAAAGGAUGGGGAUUCGUUCCAUUAGGUUGUUGGUGAGGUAACGGCCCACCAAGCCUUCGAUGGCUAGGGGUUCUGCUCGGAAUGUCCCCCACAUGGGAACUUAUACACGGUCCAAACUCCUACGGGAGGCAGCAGUGAGGAAUAUUGGUCAAUGUGCGUUAGCCUGAACCAGCCAAGUAGCGUGAAGGAUGAAGGCUUAUGGGUCGUAAACUUCUUUUAUAUAAGAAUAUGUAUUAUAUGAAUAAGGAUCGGCUAACUCCGUGCCAGCCGCCGCGGUAAUAC